AAACGCCCUUAAAUUCCAAAGAAGAAGAAGAAGAUUGCGCAGCCGCUUCACAGCCAGAGAAUUCAGUUCAGUUCUGUCGCAGUAACGUUCGUUGUUUUUCUUCGACUGUUUUUGAGAGUAACUUUGAUUUCGGGUGUCUUUUAUGAGUAAUCAAAAGAUUCAGAAGCCAACGCUUACAGGCCAGCGUUUUAAAACUAGGAAGAGAGAUGAAAAGAAGGUGUUUGACCCUACUCAGUUUCAGGAAACCAUUGUACAAGGUCUGAACCAAACUGGCAGUGAUCUCGACGCUGUUGCGAAAUUUCUUGAUGCCUCUGGUGCCAAGCUUGACUACCGCCGCUAUGCUGAGACACUCUUCGACAUCCUGGUGGCUGGCGGAAUGCUGGCCCCAGGGGGUACCUUAUCAGAUGACUUGACCCGUACAGAGUUCUGUCUCUUUACAGCUCAAGAAGACCUGGAGACCAUGCAAGCUUAUGCUCAGGUUUUCAACAAGCUUAUCAGGCGCUACAAGUACCUGGAGAAAGGUUUCGAAGAGGAGAUCAAGAAGUUGCUGCUGUUCCUAAAGGGGUUCACUGAGUCUGAGCGCAACAAGCUGGCCAUGUUGACUGGCAUCCUGCUAGCCAACGGCAACAUCUCAGCCUCUAUCCUCAACAGCCUCUACAACGAGAACCUCGUCAAAGAAGGUGUCUCUGCAGCCUUUGCUGUGAAACUUUUCAAAUCCUGGAUCCAUGAGAAGGACAUCAACUCUGUGGCCGGAAGUCUCCGGAAGGUCGGGAUGGAUAACAGGCUUCUGGAGCUGUUUCCUGCCAACAAGCGGAGCUGUGAGCACUUCUCUAAGUACUUCACAGAUGCUGGACUCAAGGAGCUGUCAGACUUUGCCAGGAACCAGCAGGCCAUUGGGUCCCGUAAGGAGCUUCAGAAGGAGCUCCAGGAACAGAUGGAACGCGGGGAUGCUUUCAAAGACAUCAUUGCCUCAGCCAGGGAGGAGAUGAAGAAAAACAACAUCUCAGAGCAGACCAUGAUCGGCAUCGUGUGGACCAGCGUUAUGAGCUAUGUGGAGUGGAACAAGAAAGAGGAGCUGGUUACAGAACAAGCCAUCAAACACUUGAAGCAAUACAGCCCACUGCUGAAGGCGUUCACAUCCCAGGGAGCCUCUGAGAUCCUGCUGCUGGUGAAGAUGCAGGAGUACUGCUAUGACAACAUCCAUUUCAUGAACUCCUUCCAGAAGAUUGUGGUCCUGCUCUACAAAGGUAAAAGUGAUGCUUGGCACUCGGCAUUAAGGAGAUGGAUUGGGGGUAGGGCGCUGCGACAGACUAGGUUCCUGUCCAGGGAGUGUACUUGUGUAUCAAGCUGCCUUACACUACAGAAACCGGACAUAGGCUCCUGCACCUAUGGGUUGUUCUGGCUCGGACAAGGCUUGCCUACUUACUUACAAAGGGAAGGAGAACAGUGAACAGCGUUGUCUGCGUCCACCGUCCUUGUUUCCCCAAUCCCUCUCAAAGCUCAUUGGAUGGGAAUGUCUGAGGGAGGGACCUUGGAUCUUUCUAUCCAGUGAGCUUUGAUUCCAUCUUCUGACCUCGCAUUGACCGUAGCUGCCAAAACCUUCCCGCUGUGCUAAUCAAAGCGAGAUCUGCGUUGACUACCAUGAAAAAUGGGCGUUCCUCUUCGGCUUUGCCAAGUGGAGCAGAAUCCAUGGCCAAAGAGGUGGAAAUACUGCUAUAGUUUCUUCACUUUCUGUUCCGCUUUGUUCAGCCAACCUGAGCCCACCUGAAAAUGUUGAAGGGUCAGUGGUCCGUUUUAGAAUUAUUUUAUAUUCUUCCAAAUAUGAGAGAUGGGACAUUAUAUGCACUAGGGCUGACCCCAUUAAGUUGAUUGUUUAGGCGACAGGCUGUUGGUUGACCGAUAAUUGUUAUGUCGAUCAGUAGCAAAAGAAAAUCAUGUUUCAUGGUGUACAAGACAUCUGUUUGAUUUGCACUUGUUUGAGUGGAUUGAUCCAUUGAGGCUGUAGGGAUGGCUCAGUCCAUCACUCUAAGACAUGUGCUACUGAAAUUGUACAUGGUUAAGGACAAUGGUGCAACACCAAUACAAAUAAUAUUAUCUUAUAACAAAUGCUCUUUCUCCCGCGUUUAAUAGCAGUCGCUGUCUGCGGUUUUGAAACAUAAGUGCACUGUUGAAUUGGCGACUUUUUCUAGACCAUGUUGCUAUGUGUAUAAUAGCAAAGUUCAUGAGCAUAUUGGUGUUGGGAACAAUGUGGCAGAGUCAGCAGCGGAGUUAGGAGACGAUAAAACAGCCCUUGCCUUAAUUGACUAAGAAAAGUGAGGAGAGAGGAAACACCAACUGAACUAGGCUAUAGAUUAUAGACCUAACUAUUAAAUGUGCCUGGCUUUAUAACAUCCAUAUAAACUAUAUAUACAGAGGUAUGUGGACACCCCUUCAAAUUAGUGGAUUCAGCUAUUUCAGCCACACCCGUUCCUGCGAGGUGUAUAGACUUGAGCACGCAGCCAUGCAAUCGCCAUAGACAAACAUUGGCAGUAGAAUGGCCUUACUGAAGAGCUCAGUGACUUUUAAAGUUGCACCGUCAUAGGAUGCCACCAACAAAUAAUUUAGUCAAAUUUCUGCCCUGCUAGAGCUGCCCCUGUCAACUGUAAGUGCUGUUAUUGUGAAGUGGAAACGUCUAGGAGCAACAACGGCUGUCGCAAAGUGGUAGGCCACACAAGCUCACAGAACGUGACCACUGAAGCGUGUAGUGCGUAAACAAUCGUCUGUCCACGGUUGAAAUACUCGCUACCAAGUUCCAAACUGCCUCUGGAAGCAUCGUCAGCACAAGAACUGACUGUCGGGAGCUUCAUGAAUUGGGUUUCUUUGGCCGAGCAGCCGUACACAAGCCUAAGUUGACCAUGUGCAAUGCCAAGCAUCGGCCGGAGUGGUGUAAAGCUCGCCGCCAUUGUACUCUGGAGCAGUGGAAACGCAUUAUCUGUAGUGAUGAAUCACACGUCACCAGCUGGCAGUCCGACGGACGAAUCUGGGUUUGGUGGAUAUAGGUAGAACACUACCUGCCCGAAUACAUAGUGCCAACUGUAAUGUUUGGUAGAGGAGGCAUAAUGGUCUGGGACUGUUUUUCAUGGUUCGGCAUACAAGGACAUUAGACAUUUCUGUGCUUCCAACUUUGUGGCAACAGUUUGGGGAAGGCACUUUCUUGUUUAAGCAUGACAAUGCCCCUGUGCACAAAGCGUGGUCCAUACAGAACGUUUGUUGAGAUCGCUGUAGAAGAGCAUGACUGGCCUGCACAGAGCCCUGACCUCGACUUCAUCAAACGCCUUUGGGAUGAUUUGGACGCCGACUGUGAGCCAGGCCUAAACGCCUGAUCUCCGUAAUGCUCUUGUGUCUAAAUGUAAGCAAGUCCCCGCAGCAAUAUCUAGUGGAAAGUCUUCACAGAAAAGUUACAGCAGCAAAGGGGUGAUCAACUCCAUAUUAAUGCCCAUAAUUUUGUAAUGAGACGUUCAGAGAGCAGGUUUCCACAUACCUUUGGUCAUGUAGUGUGUGUGUAUAUCUACAAGACAGGUCCUGCUUCUGUUGACUGUUUGAGUGUUUGUUUAAUAGCCUACUGAUUAUGCGAGCACCAAGCCUCACGCAACCAUGUCGGCUAAACUAUUUCACAAAUCCGUCUGUUUUAUAAUCUUUGCUUUGUUGUAAUUAAGGCUUUAUCCUUUUUUUUUUUGUUAGAACAGCCUUCCUGAUAUUACUUACACUUUAUUUAGUAUUUACGCUGUUCCAAAUUGUCAAAUUAUUUUUAAUAACCCUCCUUUUUCUGGGUCGCAUUAUUAUGAUCAUUAUCAUUUAGUAGACUUAGUAUAGCAGCCUUGUAUAACCACCAUCGAGAUUUGGGCCUUAGAGUGCAUCCUGUUUAGUCUUAAUACUGUAUCUUUCUUAGGCCUAUAUUUCAAUACUUUCUACAGACUACUGUAUCAGUCAUUUGUUUGUCAUCACAAAGCAUACGAGUCAUUCAUGAUUUGAAAUGCAAUCAAGCAUUUUCGUUUAAAAAUAAAAUAAAGCGACACUUGAAUAAUUAGCGUACACGAUAAAUAAACCGUUCCAUUUUGUCAAUUGCGUUCACAAAUGCAUGCAUCUGUUUUUAAUCUUUACUGUAAUGAAGCUUUACAAACAAUGUUACAACCAACUCUCUGGUACGUUUAUUUAGUGUUUACAUUGUUCCAAGCGGUCAGAGUUAUAUUGUAAUCUAACCAUUCCUGUUUGGCACUCAUAAUAUGCACGCAUUGCUUGCUUCUUACAUACUUUUUCUUGAUCGCCACUAUUUUCCACAACUAGUCAAAUUUAUUCCAUAUGUCUGACUUCACCUUUACCUCCUGAGCAACCAGUAAACAUUCCCCCGUUUCUAGUUUGUAAUUUCCUCUGCUUCCAUUUUGAUGUCACUUGUUACUGUGUUCUGAGUUCAUGACUGAUUUGUUGUGAUUUUAUGAUAUGCUAUACAUCAGGCCCUAUUGGUCAUGUGCAUGUGACGCAUACUUGUCACUUAAAGAGAGAAAGGGUUGAGGGAAUAGGGAAUAUUUUUCCUAAACAAAUGGGGGAUUUCAUUAACCGAUCAUUUGUCAGAUGGCUGUAAUUAUGUUGCAGCUUCAGCAACACUGACAGUGCGAUAAACAUUGUUGAUGUUCUGUGGUGGUCACUCCAGCAGGGAGGAGAGUGGACCAACGGAUGCUAGCCCCAGUCACUCGCUGUCAUUUUUCUUUUUUACACUGCGCAGCAAGUCUGAGCCCUGCCCAGCACAAUCAAAUCAAUUGCAGUCUUUCUUAAUGAUUUCAUCAGACUGUGUGCUUAUGGUAUCAGACAAGCACGGUGCAUAUAGUUGAUUUGAAUAAAACACAGGGUGUCUAUGGAAAAAUACAACUUCUAACAUUUCGGCCAAUCUAAGCAAAUUUUUGCGUUCGUGUUUUGAAAGCAAGGUUGCCUAGCAGAUUCACAUCAGCACUUUUUAGUUGGGCAUAAUUGUCUUUGCCAAGUGGCCAUAAUGGCAUCUUUAUCCCGGGAUGCCUGCUGGUUUGUGAUGAUCAUGUUGAUUUAUUUUUCCCAGCGGAUGUUUUGAGUGAGGAGGCCAUUCUGAAGUGGUACACCGAGGCCCACGUUGCCAAAGGAAGAAGUGUUUUCCUGGAACAGAUGAAAAAGUUUGUGGAGUGGCUCAAGAACGCGGAGGAAGAAUCUGAGUCCGAGGAGGAAGAGGCUGACUAAAAGACCUCAAGCCAAAUCCAAGGCUCGUUUUAUUUUUUAGAAUAAUGUAAUAUCUUUUUUUCUAUUCUACCUCCUCAACAACCAUAAUGUCUAGAUGUAAUUUAAGGGCUUUUACAUCAUGUUCAUUUUUUUAACUUAUAAAGUUUACACUUCUGGAUAGUAAGAAUCAUGAAUAGAUUUUCCCUUGACACACUUAAUAAUUCCUCAUUUGAAGGGAAAGACAUGUUGCCACAUUUUAAAACCAACCCCCUUAACUCACCCAGCCCCUUCUGUUGGUAUGUAUCUGUGUUUUAUGAAAGAAUGUUCCCUUUAAAAUUGACUUCAUUCUGCUGGCAUGAUUCAUAGCGAUCUUUUACUGCAGUUGGACUCUUAUUUGCCAGUGGUUGAUACAUACAUGCUCACUAUUUAACUCCUUUUUGUAUUUUUAUUUAGCCAGUGUGACAUGUCCAGAUAAUCAGAUUUUAAAUUGAACGGUCAGGCUUGAACUCUCUUGUCCACACUAUAUGAAGUUCUAGCUACCAGUCUACUGAAAAGGUGCUGGUGGUGUAAACUGUAAUCGCUCUCUGACAUCUUCUGUAACACUGUGCCAGAUUCUAGAUUUAAUUUUGGUUAUUGUUGUAAUUUCUUUACCCUGAUAUCAAUUUGACUUUUUAAAAUAAAGUUCAGUACUAGUU
RNA transcript from Oncorhynchus kisutch (coho salmon), 5915 nucleotides. It is a transcript of the gene named basic leucine zipper and W2 domain-containing protein 1-A, with no coding region annotated. NCBI's taxonomy places the organism in Eukaryota, Metazoa, Chordata, Actinopteri, Salmoniformes, Salmonidae. The record is from RefSeq and is a predicted model, not a curated record. The transcript is spliced from 11 exons.